AUGGGUGCUAGUGCUAAUGUGAUACCUUAUGAUCUUUAUAAAGAAAUUAUGCACGAUAUUGCACCCGUUGAAUUAGAAGACAUUGAUGUUACUAUUAAGCUUGCUAAUAGGGAUACCAUUAAACCUAUUGGGAUUGUUAGAGAUGUUGAAGUCUUGUGUGGGAAGAUUAAAUACCCUGCUGAUUUUCUCGUUCUUGGUUCCCCACAAGAUGAUUUUUGUCCUAUUAUUUUUGGUAGACCCUUCUUGAAUACUGCUAGUGCUAAGAUUAAUUGUGAAAAGAAUAUUGUCACUGUUGGCAUAGAUGGUAUGUCUCAUGAGUUUAAUUUUGCUAAGUUUAGUAGACAACCUCAUGAAAGGGAACCAUCUAGUAAGGAUGAAAUUAUUGGUCUUGCUUCCAUUGCUGUUCCACCAACUGAUCCGUUAGAACAAUAUCUGCUAGACCAUGAAAAUGAUAUGUUCAUGAAGGAAACGGAAGAAAUAGAUGAAGUGUUUUUUAAACAAGAACCUAUGCUGAAACAUAACCUUCCCGUUGAAAUUCUUGGGGACCCCCCUGCACCCAAGGGUGAUCCCGUGUUUGAACUCAAACCAUUACCUGAUAAUCUUAAGUAUGCUUAUCUUGAUGAAAAAGAAACAUAUCCUGUUAUUAUUAGUGCUAACCUUUUCAGAGAAAGAAGAAGAAAGAUUAUUGAAAAACUCUGA
RNAcentral lists this ribosomal RNA (699 nucleotides) under Triticum aestivum (bread wheat). Its description in RNAcentral is "partial small subunit ribosomal RNA". The record is from RNAcentral. Lineage: Eukaryota; Viridiplantae; Streptophyta; Magnoliopsida; Poales; Poaceae.